Long non-coding RNA from Gallus gallus (chicken), 1679 nucleotides. Lineage: Eukaryota; Metazoa; Chordata; Aves; Galliformes; Phasianidae. The record is from Ensembl.
CCCAAGUGCGAGUUAAAAAAAAAAAAAACAAAACAAAAAGGAAUUGCUUUGUUGUUGCAAUUUGCUGCUAGGCAUUCCUAUGUGUGCUAAUGAUAAGUAUUAAUUAAAUAGCUUGCUGUUGUCUUUUAAAUGCAGUUCUUUCAGGCUGUAAUUAAACACAGACACCCAGCCCUUUCUGUCUGCAUAGAAAGAGGCAGGAAGGCCUCCGAAGUGCUGCACUUCUUUCCUUGUAGCAGGAGAGAAGUGGAAAAUGAAGCAAAACCAGUUUCCACUGCAAACUCAUCACCCUGUGCAUGUCCUUCAUGUGGAGAGCAAGCAGCCAAAGGAAAUUAAAGGAAUGCGACUUUCAAGAUAGCAGCCCUGCAAUCAAACACUUUGAAGAUAAAAAGCGUUCACCCGAGUUCUGUGAUUAGUAUUUAAAGACUCCAACAAAAUAUUUGUAGGCAGAAAAACCUAACCAAGGAAUGCUUAUGUUUGGGCACUCAAUGGGGCCUGUUCAGAGGGACGGAUUCCACAGUUAUUAUUAGCAAUAAGGUUAUCUUUGGCAUCAUCUUUUUAUGCACAACACGCUAUUGGAUUCCACCCUCCCAUUUUGCGUGAGCCCUGGGGCAGAAGGCAUACAAAUUAGAGCGGGUUCAAGCCUUACAAGUGUUUUUCACGUAAUCAGGGUUGAAGUUUGGUGAGAUCUCUGGCAGUUAAAUUUAGGAUCAUUCGGAAGGGUAUUGGUGCGUGUUGGGCACCAUGGGAUGCUCAAGGGCUGGGGGGAGAAUCGUGAUGCCCAGAGGAGUUUUGGCUCCACCAGAAAGUGACAAGUGACAGAACGUGAGAAAACAGCCUCAGGUUGUAACAGGGGAAGUUUAGGGUGGAUAUUAGGAAGGAUUUCUUAAAUGAAAAGGGUGGACAGGCAUUGAAACAGCCUGCACAGGGAAGUGGUGGGGUCCCCAUCGCUAGAAGUAUUUAAGAUGUGUGGACGUGGCACUAAGGGACACGGGUUAGCGAUGGCAUUCAGUAGGUUAGAUUGAUGGUUGGACGUGGGGAUCUUGAAGGUCAUUUCCAACCUAGAUGAUUCCAUGACAACUAAACAAAAACAUUGCCAUGCACUGGGGAUUUAUGUGAUAUUCAAUGGGUGACAAAUCAGGCACGGGAAGAGACGAUCCUAUGCAGGAUGUGGCUCCAAGCAUCUCCUUGCUGUGUGAUAUUGCACAGGUCUGGACAUGGCUCUGGGCAUGGACAAGUCUGGACGCAACACAAUGAGAAGCCUGGAAGCAUAUUUUGGGGAUCUAGUGCUCCACUAGGAAAAGAAGCUCUGUGCCAGUCUGGAUGUGCCCAAGGGGUCCCACCUGUCCCCAGAAUUGGGCUGGAGGGGAUGACUUGAUUCAGGCAUGAGAGCAGAGAGCAGCUGCUGCUUGAUUUAAUUGCCUUUCUAGUUCUUGGGGAUCUGCUUAAAGCUGAAGGAGAAACUUGACUUCCUUGUUGCAGGAUGAGGCAGAGCCCUGGCAGGAUGAAGCCUUGGACAAAACCAUAGAAGAGAAAAAUAAAUAAAUCUUGGCUACCUGCAAGUUCUGUGGCUGUAGUCCAGUGUCCGUUGAGUGGGAACCUUUCACUGACUUUGCCAUGCUGGGUCAAACCUCAGGAAUGUACCUCCUGCUUUGAUGGUUUCACUAUUGGUAGGUCAGCUU